RNAcentral lists this ribosomal RNA (550 nucleotides) under uncultured bacterium. Its description in RNAcentral is "bacterial SSU rRNA". It matches the Rfam family "Bacterial small subunit ribosomal RNA", at positions 777 to 1336 of the family's 1533-position model. The record is from RNAcentral.
AAUAGAUACCCUGGUAGUCCACGCCGUAAACGAUGGAUGCUAGCUAUUGGGGGGAAUCGACCCCCUCCGAAGCGAAGCUAACGCGUUAAGCAUCCCGCCUGAGUAGUACGAGCGCAAGCUUAAAACUCAAAGGAAUUGACGGGGACCCGCACAAGCGGUGGAGCGUGUGGUUUAAUUCGAUGGUAAACGAAGAACCUUACCAAGGUUUGACAUCCCGGUAGCCGUUCUCCGAAGGAGAAUCUCAUUUAGUUGGACCGGUGACAGGUGAUGCAUGGCCGUCGUCAGCUCGUGUCGUGAGAUGUUGGGUUAAGUCCCGCAACGAGCGCAACCCUUAUGAUUUAGUUGGAUUUUUCUAAACAGACUGCCCUGGUAACAGGGAGGAAGGAGGGGAUGAUGUCAGGUCAGUAUUUCCCUUACACCUUGGGGCGACACACGCGCUACAAUGGCCGGUACAAUGGGCAGCUAAGCCGCGAGGUGGAGCAAAUCCCAUCAAAGCCGGUCCCAGUUCGGAUUGCAGGCUGAAACCCGCCUGCAUGAAGCCGGAAUCGCU